Pan troglodytes (chimpanzee) is the source of this 859-nucleotide long non-coding RNA. RefSeq lists it as uncharacterized. The transcript is spliced from 5 exons. NCBI's taxonomy places the organism in Eukaryota, Metazoa, Chordata, Mammalia, Primates, Hominidae. The record is from RefSeq and is a predicted model, not a curated record.
AUCUGUGGAGUGGCUGCAGCACCUGUGUUUCAGCCUGAAGAAUGGGCACAGUCCCUCUUUGGCAGACUGAAUGGAUGCUGCCAUACCAUCACACUGAAAAUGAGGAAUAUAACACCAUGAGGAUGAAUGGUUGUUUCACACACUGCUACUGAGUGAUGAUGUUCUUUCUAUACAUCCCAAGCGUUCUGUACAUCUAUGCAUCCCAAGUGCAUCAAGAUGGACCAGGUUGUCAGCAUGUUCAGAGUAAACAUGAAGAUUUAUGAUGUGCAUCUAAUGCCUGGUUUGGGGUCUGCACCAGGUUGGAGUCCAAGACUCAAGUGGGCUUUCCUGGAUAUUUCAUGAUUCUGAAGAAGAAUUGGAGGUGAGACUUGAGAAAAUGGAGAAAAAGAUAUGCUUUGGAUUUUCUUGAAGAUUAGAAGCUUUCUUAACCAUCCACCACCUUGUUGAUUGGUUAUUAUUCUCUCUACCUUCUGUGAAACAAACUGAUGGAUACUAAUGGCACAAUUACACUUAUAGCUAGUCAGUUGCAUAGUUUAUGCACAUAGUUCUGCUUCCAGUGUUUAGUAAUGAGUUAAACAUUUUGGCUAUAUUUGUCUCUGAAGCUAUAAUUUAAUUAAUCAUUAUGUAUAGCAAUAAUAACAAGUAAAACAAAAAGAAGAGUUUUUGUUUUUAUGGUAAUUAUGUUGGGUGCUUUGGAUCCUCCCAAUAAAGUUGACUUCCCUAAAAUAAUUACACUUGAAUUAGGUAUAGAGAAGCUAAUUGUAACAAAUUGAAAGUUACUGUAAAUCUUCUAAUCGUAGUUCUCUGCAAGUGUACUUAAGUUAUUGCUCCACUUGAAAUAAAUGAAAACUGGAAAUCU